Felis catus (domestic cat) is the source of this 85-nucleotide non-coding RNA. The record is from Rfam. Lineage: Eukaryota; Metazoa; Chordata; Mammalia; Carnivora; Felidae.
GCCUGGGUGGCUCAGUCGGUUAAGCAUCUGACUUUGGCUCAGGUCAUGAUCUUAUGGUUUGUGGGUUCAAGCCCUGCGUCUGGCU